UUGAAAACAUUUCAAUGGGAAGCUUUUCAAUAAGGCGUCAUUAGAAAACUCUUAAUCUGCUGCCAAGUAUUAAAUUUAUAGAAUAAAGAAUUAUAGUUUUUUUUUAUGAAGAUAAAAAAUAAAUAUGGUGAGAAUAGAUGCUCUUCAAUGAUGUCUCACUAAGAAGCUUUUUACUGUUUUAUUUAUUUAUUUAAAAUAAACUUAGCUAAAAAUAUAAAUUAAUUAGAAUUUGAAUUUGAAAUAUCGAAUGCUAAUUAUUAAGU
This 263-nucleotide long non-coding RNA is filed under the name Ananas comosus (pineapple). RNAcentral describes it as "long non-coding RNA (ACOM_LNC032135)". Lineage: Eukaryota; Viridiplantae; Streptophyta; Magnoliopsida; Poales; Bromeliaceae. The record is from RNAcentral.